This 990-nucleotide ribosomal RNA is filed under the name uncultured bacterium. RNAcentral describes it as "bacterial SSU rRNA". It matches the Rfam family "Bacterial small subunit ribosomal RNA", at positions 502 to 1504 of the family's 1533-position model. The record is from RNAcentral.
AUUGUGCCAGCGGCCGCGGUAAUACGGAGGAUGCGAGCGUUAUCCGGAUUUAUUGGGUUUAAAGGGUGCGUAGGCGGAUUAAUAAGUCAGUGGUGAAAACCUUCAGCUUAACUGGAGAACUGCCAUUGAUACUGUUAGUCUUGAGUACGGUCAAGGUAGGCGGAAUGUGUAAUGUAGCGGUGAAAUGCUUAGAUAUUACACAGAACACCGAUUGCGAAGGCAGCUUACUGGGCCAUUACUGACGCUGAUGCACGAAAGCGUGGGGAGCGAACAGGAUUAGAUACCCUGGUAGUCCACGCCGUAAACGAUGAUCACUCGCUGUUGGCGAUACACAGUCAGCGGCUAAGCAAAAGCAUUAAGUGAUCCACCUGGGGAGUACGGCCGCAAGGCUGAAACUCAAAGGAAUUGACGGGGGCCCGCACAAGCGGAGGAACAUGUGGUUUAAUUCGAUGAUACGCGAGGAACCUUACCUGGGCUUAAAUGUAGAGUGCAUGGGGUAGAAAUAUCCCUUUCCUUCGGGACUCUUUACAAGGUGCUGCAUGGUUGUCGUCAGCUCGUGCCGUGAGGUGUCGGGUUAAGUCCCAUAACGAGCGCAACCCUUAUCGUUAGUUGCCAGCGGGUAAUGCCGGGAACUCUAACGAAACUGCCGGUGUAAACCGUGAGGAAGGUGGGGAUGACGUCAAAUCAGCACGGCCCUUAUGUCCAGGGCUACACACGUGUUACAAUGGCCGGUACAGAGGGCAGCUACCUGGAGACAGGAUGCGAAUCUCGAAAGCCGGUCUCAGUUCGGAUCGGAGUCUGCAACUCGACUCCGUGAAGCUGGAUUCGCUAGUAAUCGCGCAUCAGCCAUGGCGCGGUGAAUACGUUCCCGGGCCUUGUACACACCGCCCGUCAAGCCAUGGAAGUUGGGGGUACCUGAAGUCCGUAACCGUAAGGAGCGGCCUAGGGUAAAACUAGUGACUGGGGCUAAGUCGUAACAAGGUAACCAAU